UACGAAGGGGGCUAGCGUUGCUCGGAAUCACUGGGCGUAAAGGGUGCGUAGGCGGGUCUUUAAGUCAGGGGUGAAAUCCUGGAGCUCAACUCCAGAACUGCCUUUGAUACUGAGGAUCUUGAGUUCGGGAGAGGUGAGUGGAACUGCGAGUGUAGAGGUGAAAUUCGUAGAUAUUCGCAAGAACACCAGUGGCGAAGGCGGCUCACUGGCCCGACAUUGACGCUGAGGAGCGAAAGCUAGGGGAGCAAACGGG
RNAcentral lists this ribosomal RNA (253 nucleotides) under uncultured bacterium. RNAcentral describes it as "partial 16S ribosomal RNA". It matches the Rfam family "Bacterial small subunit ribosomal RNA", at positions 524 to 776 of the family's 1533-position model. The record is from RNAcentral.